GUUCUGAGCUGUUUUGAGAAUUCUCGCCAGAGCACAGUAAAAAAGAAGUCUGCCUUACAACGUGAACUGGGCAGUGUUUAAAGCUCCUAAUUCUUACUCUCAGGGAGGGAAACUCCCACAUUUGGAUUACAUUUAAGCUCUGACAGCAAGAACAAGCCUAUUUCCUGGCCAGGCUCUAGCGUCCCCAGCGAGAUCAGGAACUCAACUGGCUCUUCCAGAGGCUAGAGGAACAUCUAGCCAAGGAUGGCUCUCCUCCCCACAGGAGGGUGACAAAAGAGGAGAACGUGUGAACCAAAACCAGCUAUGACUCCCUGAUUCUCUACCCCAGCUCCAGCCCAGGUAAACAAGCAUUCGGUAUUAUAGCACAGAGCUGCAGGAUGGUCCUCUGAAGUGUAACAGAGUAGGAAAUAGCAUCCUGUGCUUCCAAUAGCAUUACAAAUGGGAAUCUAUGACAGCUC
Molecule: long non-coding RNA, 458 nt
Organism: Mauremys reevesii (Reeves's turtle)
Lineage: Eukaryota; Metazoa; Chordata; Testudines; Geoemydidae
Exons: 3
Source: RefSeq, a predicted model, not a curated record